ACCUACGGGGGGCAGCAGUGGGGAAUAUUGCACAAUGGGGGAAACCCUGAUGCAGCGACGCCGCGUGAGUGAAGAAGUAUCUCGGUACGUAAAGCUCUUUCAGCAGGGAAGAAAAAAAGUCUUUGGCUUUGGACGGUACCUGACUAAGAAGCCCCGGCUAACUACGUGCCAGCAGCCGCGGUAAUACGUAGGGGGCAAGCGUUAUCCGGAUUUACUGGGUGUAAAGGGAGCGUAGACGGCAGCGCAAGUCUGGAGUGAAAUGCCGGGGCUCAACCCCGGAACUGCUCUGGAAACUGUGCAGCUAG
RNAcentral lists this ribosomal RNA (305 nucleotides) under uncultured bacterium. RNAcentral's name for it is "partial 16S ribosomal RNA". It matches the Rfam family "Bacterial small subunit ribosomal RNA", at positions 337 to 644 of the family's 1533-position model. The record is from RNAcentral.